GACGAACGCUGGCGGCGUGCUUAACACAUGCAAGUCGAACGAAGAGCGAUGGAAGCUUGCUUCUAUCAAUCUUAGUGGCGAACGGGUGAGUAACGCGUAAUCAACCUGCCCUUCAGAGGGGGACAACAGUUGGAAACGACUGCUAAUACCGCAUACGAUCUAAUCUCGGCAUCGAGGAUAGAUGAAAGGUGGCCUCUACAUGUAAGCUAUCACUGAAGGAGGGGAUUGCGUCUGAUUAGCUAGUUGGAGGGGUAACGGCCCACCAAGGCGAUGAUCAGUAGCCGGUCUGAGAGGAUGAACGGCCACAUUGGGACUGAGACACGGCCCAGACUCCUACGGGAGGCAGCAGUGGGGAAUCUUCCGCAAUGGACGAAAGUCUGACGGAGCAACGCCGCGUGAGUGAUGACGGCCUUCGGGUUGUAAAGCUCUGUUAAUCGGGACGAAAGGCCUUCUUGCGAAGAGUGAGAAGGAUUGACGGUACCGGAAUAGAAAGCCACGGCUAACUACGU
RNAcentral lists this ribosomal RNA (509 nucleotides) under uncultured bacterium. RNAcentral's name for it is "partial 16S ribosomal RNA". It matches the Rfam family "Bacterial small subunit ribosomal RNA", at positions 28 to 506 of the family's 1533-position model. The record is from RNAcentral.